GCCGCGUGAGGGAGACGGUCUUCGGAUUGUAAACCUCUGUCCUCGGUGACGAUAAUGACGGUAGCCGAGGAGGAAGCUCCGGCUAACUACGUGCCAGCAGCCGCGGUAAUACGUAGGGAGCGAGCGUUGUCCGGAUUUACUGGGUGUAAAGGGUGCGUAGGCGGCUGAGCAAGUCAGGUGUGAAAACCAUCGGCUCAACUGAUGGAUUGCAUUUGAAACUGUGCGGCUUGAGUGAAGUAGAGGCAGGCGGAAUUCCCGGUGUAGCGGUGAAAUGCGUAGAGAUCGGGAGGAACACCAGUGGCGAAGGCGGCCUGCUGGGCUUUAACUGACGCUGAGGCACGAAAGCAUGGGUAGCAAACAGGAUUAGAUACCCUGGUAGUCACAG
Molecule: ribosomal RNA, 385 nt
Filed under: uncultured Clostridium sp.
Lineage: Bacteria; Bacillati; Bacillota; Clostridia; Eubacteriales; Clostridiaceae
Description: bacterial SSU rRNA
Rfam family: Bacterial small subunit ribosomal RNA
Source: RNAcentral